Triticum aestivum (bread wheat) is the source of this 302-nucleotide long non-coding RNA. RefSeq lists it as uncharacterized. NCBI's taxonomy places the organism in Eukaryota, Viridiplantae, Streptophyta, Magnoliopsida, Poales, Poaceae. The record is from RefSeq and is a predicted model, not a curated record. The transcript is spliced from 3 exons.
CCCGCACCGGCCCGGUCGUCCCCGCCCCCUUCCCGGCCCCGUCGUCCACACCCCCUUUCCGCCCCGCAGUUGCUGGUGAGGUGGCCGUGGCCGCGGCUCCGGCGGUCCGGCGCCCCCUUGCCGGCCCUCUGCUACUGGCUUUCUGGUGUUGCAUAUCUUUGGAGUCAUAGUCGUCGAAGGCAUUGCACGUUGUUGAGUGCAUGGCGGUCGGCAGGGUUCCUCAAUUGCAACCAGCACCAUCUCCACCACAACCAGUGCUGCUUGCUUUUGAGGAGUUUCUGGCACAGAACCCUGGCCCCUCG